RNAcentral lists this transfer RNA (74 nucleotides) under Chloroflexota bacterium. RNAcentral's name for it is "Chloroflexi bacterium tRNA-Pro". It matches the Rfam family "tRNA". From Rfam's summary of the family: Transfer RNA (tRNA) molecules are approximately 80 nucleotides in length. Lineage: Bacteria; Bacillati; Chloroflexota. The record is from RNAcentral.
CGGGGUGUAGCGCAGCCUGGUAGCGCACUAGCCUUGGGCGCUAGUGGUCGGCGGUUCGAAUCCGCCCACCCCGA